RNAcentral lists this transfer RNA (67 nucleotides) under Menathais tuberosa. Its description in RNAcentral is "tRNA-Ala". The record is from RNAcentral. Lineage: Eukaryota; Metazoa; Mollusca; Gastropoda; Neogastropoda; Muricidae.
GACUUGAUACUUUAACUCAAAAGGUCUGGCUUGCAUUCAGAGAAUAAGUAUUGAUACUUUCGGGUCA